AGUGAACGCUGGCGGUAGGCCUAACACAUGCAAGUCGAACGGCAGCACAGUAAGAGCUUGCUCUUACGGGUGGCGAGUGGCGGACGGGUGAGGAAUACAUCGGCAUCUACUUUUUCGUGGGGGAUAACGUAGGGAAACUUACGCUAAUACCGCAUACGACCUACGGGUGAAAGCAGGGGAUCUUCGGACCUUGCGCGAUUGAAUGAGCCGAUGUCGGAUUAGCUAGUUGGCGGGGUAAAGGCCCACCAAGGCGACGAUCCGUAGCUGGUCUGAGAGGAUGAUCAGCCACACUGGAACUGAGACACGGUCCAGACUCCUACGGGAGGCAGCAGUGGGGACUAUUGGACAAUGGGCGCAAGCCUGAUCCAGCCAUACCGCGUGGGUGAAGAAGGCCUUCGGGUUGUAAAGCCCUUUUGUUGGGAAAGAAAAGCAGCAGGUUAAUACCCCGCUGUUCUGACGGUACCCAAAGAAUAAGCACCGGCUAACUUCGUG
Molecule: ribosomal RNA, 492 nt
Filed under: uncultured bacterium
Lineage: Bacteria
Description: partial 16S ribosomal RNA
Rfam family: Bacterial small subunit ribosomal RNA
Source: RNAcentral